Molecule: ribosomal RNA, 253 nt
Filed under: uncultured bacterium
Lineage: Bacteria
Description: partial 16S ribosomal RNA
Rfam family: Bacterial small subunit ribosomal RNA
Source: RNAcentral
UACGAGGGGGGCAAAUGUUGUCCGGAAUCACUGGGCGUAAAGGGCGCGUAGGCGGCUUUUCAAGCGUGCGGUGAAAGCUCGGGGCUUAACUCCGAGUCUGCCGUGCGAGCUGGGAGGCUUGAGUCUGGUAGAGGUCGAUGGAAUUCCGGGUGUAGCGGUGGAAUGCGUAGAGAUCCGGAAGAACACCGGUGGCGAAGGCGGUCGACUGGGCCAGAACUGACGCUGAGGCGCGACAGCGUGGGGAGCAAACAGG